Non-coding RNA from Puccinia sorghi, 90 nucleotides. The record is from the annotation of a GenBank genome assembly. Lineage: Eukaryota; Fungi; Basidiomycota; Pucciniomycetes; Pucciniales; Pucciniaceae.
GACUUGGUAGCCUAGUUGUUAAAGGCAGUGUUUCUAGCACGAUGUCUUAGCUUCUAGCUAAUGUUGCUGGUUCAAAUCUUGCCGAAGUUA